This is a long non-coding RNA of Alnus glutinosa, 793 nucleotides long. RefSeq lists it as uncharacterized. The record is from RefSeq and is a predicted model, not a curated record. NCBI's taxonomy places the organism in Eukaryota, Viridiplantae, Streptophyta, Magnoliopsida, Fagales, Betulaceae. The transcript is spliced from 3 exons.
UCCUCUUCUUCCUUUCCUUUUUCCUUUUUCUUUCUCUUUUAUUCUCCUUUCUCACGCACCCACCAGCCUCCCUCUUCCUUUCUUUCUUCUACCCAUUUCUCCUUACUUCUUCUGUGCACCAGCCCAUGAGAGAUUGAGAGAGUGAGACGCAGAGAUGGAGAGACCCGUGAGCAAAACCCGUUGAACAGUGCACAGAGCCGACAAACGGCGGUUCCAGUGGUGAUUCCGGCGAAGCAAAGCUAAAACCCGACGGCUUGAAGGUCGAUUUCCGGCGGAACCCGACGAACCCAGGAGCUUCGAUCGGGAAGACCUGUGACCCAAUGAUCAGUGACCCGAGACCUAUGAAACCCGACCAUCUAUGAGCGGUUUUCCAGCGAGUCCUCCGAUGAACCAGAGUCGAUUUUCGGAUUGUGUUGUAAUUGGAGACUUCAAUGGAUUCUCCAAUGUAGAGUUCGAGUAGUUGGAAUCCAGUGGGAGUUCGAGUCAGGAGUCUAAUGCAGCCAAGAUGAUGUUUCUUUGGCUGCAGGUACUUCGGUAUAGUUGAGGGGUUGGUAGCAGUGUACUUGGGAUAUUAUAACUGAAGCUCGCCGCGAUAGUUGUAAUUGUCGGACCACGGGUUGUCCACUAUUUUAUAGGUUUGGUAUGGCUUGUGACGUUUGUGUCACUUAUUCUUUGUUAAGCCAUUAUUGUUAUGUAAAUAUUGUGUUAAUAAGACUCAAACAGAUAGAUGUUAAAUGGCUCAAUAUUGUAAUUAAUUUGUGAUAGAUGUAUAAGUUGUAAUUUUUGCUAUUCA